RNAcentral lists this ribosomal RNA (548 nucleotides) under Campylobacter jejuni. Its description in RNAcentral is "partial 23S ribosomal RNA". It matches the Rfam family "Bacterial large subunit ribosomal RNA", at positions 1244 to 1786 of the family's 2925-position model. The record is from RNAcentral. Lineage: Bacteria; Pseudomonadati; Campylobacterota; Epsilonproteobacteria; Campylobacterales; Campylobacteraceae.
UUUGCGUCGAAGGUAUACCGGUAAGGAGUGCUGGAGCGAAUAGAAGUGAGCAUGCAGGCAUGAGUAGCGAUAAUUAAUGUGAGAAUCAUUAACGCCGUAAACCCAAGGUUUCCUACGCGAUGCUCGUCAUCGUAGGGUUAGUCGGGUCCUAAGUCGAGUCCGAAAGGGGUAGACGAUGGCAAAUUGGUUAAUAUUCCAAUACCAACAUUAGUGUGCGAUGGAAGGACGCUUAGGGCUAAGGGGGCUAGCGGAUGGAAGUGCUAGUCUAAGGUCGUAGGAGGUUAUACAGGCAAAUCCGUAUAACAAUACUCCGAGAACUGAAAGGCUUUUUGAAGUCUUCGGAUGGAUAGAAGAACCCCUGAUGCCGUCGAGCCAAGAAAAGUUUCUAAGUUUAGCUAAUGUUGCCCGUACCGUAAACCGACACAGGUGGGUGGGAUGAGUAUUCUAAGGCGCGUGGAAGAACUCUCUUUAAGGAACUCUGCAAAAUAGCACCGUAUCUUCGGUAUAAGGUGUGGUUAGCUUUGUAUUAGGAUUUACUCCGAAAGCAA